AUGUUAUCAAGAAAGGUGGAGAGACUAGACUCUGUGAAACCUUGGCAACCCUUCGUCAGCGAAGAAGGUGCUACGUUCUAAUCCGUUUUUACGGAUGCAGAUAACGC
Molecule: non-coding RNA, 107 nt
Filed under: Chryseobacterium sp.
Lineage: Bacteria; Pseudomonadati; Bacteroidota; Flavobacteriia; Flavobacteriales; Weeksellaceae
Description: SAM-I sequence
Rfam family: SAM riboswitch aptamer (S box leader)
About the family: The SAM riboswitch is found upstream of a number of genes which code for proteins involved in methionine or cysteine biosynthesis in Gram-positive bacteria. The SAM riboswitch acts at the level of transcription termination control.
Source: RNAcentral